GCCGUUUCAGAGUUUAUAAUGGGUGUGUAUGGGACGGAAUGUUGGGGCUAGAGUGAGACAGCUCAACUGCUAGAGUGAGAGGAGCAAAAAAAUUAAUCUUAAAAUCUUUUUUUAAAACUGCUGCUGUGUCCGCAGCGUUUGCUCUACAGGUAUGAUUUUACCCUCAAAACGUAGCCAUGGCUGUCCUCUUUCAUCCAAUGUGUUUACUAUUGUACUAGGUGUUAUGGUUCUUUCAUAAAUGUCACCAAUGCACAGCCUCCUCCCUCCAACUCUUCCAUAGACUCUAAUGUUAAAAUGGCUCAGAAGGUUCGUUUGAAAAUCAGAAGAGCAUGGUGUCUUUCCACUGUCACCACGUCCAUAUAAUAAACUCCACAGGCAUGAAAACUGAGAAUUAGGUAGACUAGACAUUGCUGUCGCUCACGGUGAAAGAAUUUUGUCAAUACGACUUUUACUUUUCAUUUGGGAGCGAUUUGUUUCGGCCUGACUUUUCUGUUCAUUUUAAGCAGCAAAAGUGAGGCGCAUGUCUGUGUACGUGUGUAUGGAGCCAUUGGGUGCGGUCACUAUAGCAACCAGGCUCACACCUGCCUGCUUAACGAGCUCUGCCUGCCACUGUACCAAGAUUCAUCUUAAGCACUUCUCUUUCAACUGCUGCUGUGUCCACAGUGUUACAGCCAUCAUUUUACCCUCAAAUUGUCGCCAUUAUUGUUCUCUUUCCAACACCGUAUCUUUCAAAGCUCAGGCAUUUAAACUUUUUAAACUGUGUGGAUCAAAGUGGAGGGAUCACAUUUGAGUCAUUCAGUGAUUCAAAGAAUAUGACCUUUUAAUAUUCAUUCAGAUGUUUUCUGACUCUAAAUGUUCUUUUCUCAUUUCUUAGGGUUUUCUAAUUUACAUUUAAAACAUUUUCAGUUUUUUUCCAACUCCUUCUUCUGUGUAACCUUCAGCUUUUAGCAGUUCAGCACCUUUGUUUUCAGGUUAAAUUCGUUUUUUUUUUUUGUUUUUUUUAAUCUCAUUCAAUAUUUUUAACUCAAAAUUCAGCAAUUAAUUCAUUUCAGUGCAUACAUUCAGAUUCAAGCAUUCACACUGCAGUUUCUUCAGAAAAUGCACUUUCUAGUUAAUAGUGAUGUUUAGCAGGUCCAUUUCAACGGACCCACUUAAUCUAAUUUUGUUUCCACUCCACGAUUUGUAAAUUACGGCAAAACGACGCGCCAUUUACCACUGUCUCUGUCUGCGACAAUGGCAAUUUUUCUUCCUGUGUAAUUCUCUCUUUUUGUGGCUCUCUUAGCAGAGGAUUUUAAAAAAAGAAACACUCAUCUCUUCUUUUCUCCUCUUCCCCCCUGCCAUUCUUUCUCCUCCUUUC
Long non-coding RNA from Astatotilapia calliptera (eastern happy), 1357 nucleotides. NCBI's taxonomy places the organism in Eukaryota, Metazoa, Chordata, Actinopteri, Cichliformes, Cichlidae. The record is from Ensembl.